AUGCACAGCGCUUUAAUUCCAAUUAUUCUCCUGCUCUUCUGGAUCGAAGGAAUAUCACCAAAUGAAAGUCACAGUGUUCGUCAGACUCCAGCCGAUCUGCUGUGGGAGACAAAGUCAAAAGUCAAACUGACCUGCAAACACAGCGUCAACAACUACGACACUGUUUUGUGGUAUCGGCGCACAGGAGAAGACUCUACUUUAAAGCUGGUCGCUUUCACAAGUUACACAAGAGUUCAAGUUCUUGAGGAGGGCUUUGAGGGCAGCUUUAACGUCAGUGGAGACGAUUCAAAGCGCACCGUCACCCCACCGACAGUCAGAGUCCUUCCACCUUCACAAAAUGAGUGUCAAAACAACAAAGACAAGAAAAACAAGAAGACAUUGGUGUGUGUGGCCUCUGGUUUCUACCCGGACCAUGUGAGUGUAUUCUGGCAGGUCGACGGGGUGAAUGUCACAGAUGGCGUGGCGACUGACGGCACUGCCCUAUGGGAAGGGGAACAUUACAGCAUCAGCAGUAGGCUGAGGGUCCCGCUCAGUGAUUGGUUCACACCAGGCAGGAGGUUCAGCUGCAGCAUCGGCUUCUUCAACGGGAGCCAGACUGUGUCCACGUCGCACUGGGUCGAAGGUGUUAAAGGACCAGGAGCUGCAGCUAUCAGAGAGAAAUAUUUGAGGGUCGUGCACGCUGCCUUGCUGUCCUACGUUGUUCUGAUCGUCAAGAGCAUCGUCUUUGGAGUCUUUGUGGUGUUUCUGGUGUGGAAGCUUCAGGGCUCAUCUGGAAAACACAAGGACUGAGAGCUGAGCAGCACACACCAGAUUCUUUGACUUUCUAUAAAUGCUUUGCUUCCAGUGCUCAUUCAUCUCGUCAGUCUGCACAAGUUACAGGGUUCCCACAGUUAUGAAAUUCCUGGAUAAGUUAUUAAAUUAGAAAAGUGUUUUCUAGGCCUGGAAAUGGUUUGGAAAAGUUUGGAAUAAACAUUGUUUUGACUGUAGUUUAAGUAUGUACAUAAAAAAUUCCCAAAUCCUGUUCAACAUUAAGUGAUAUAUGCUCCUUUUAUUACCAAUUUAUAAUCUAGUGCUGAUACACAGACCAGACCAGCAGCGCAUCAUCGCCAAGGUCACUCCCGGUUUGUGGGAAAGAAAUAUUAUGGAAAAGUUCUAAAAUUAAUAAAAUGUGUGGGAACCCUGUUAGCAUUGAUUUGAUCUCCAUUGCUAACUGAUAUUUUCCAUCUUGUCUGUUGGUGUCGGUGUUUGUGAAGUGCUUCAUGCUGAAUAUAAAUCUUAAUAAAAGUUUGUCAGAGGA
Molecule: non-coding RNA, 1297 nt
Organism: Epinephelus lanceolatus (giant grouper)
Lineage: Eukaryota; Metazoa; Chordata; Actinopteri; Perciformes; Serranidae
Source: the annotation of a RefSeq genome assembly